GAUGAACGCUAGCGGCAGGCUUAAUACAUGCAAGUCGAGGGGCAGCAGGGUGUAGCAAUACACUGCUGGCGACCGGCAAACGGGUGCGGAACACGUACGCAACCUUCCUUCAAGUGGGGAAUAGCCCAGGGAAACUUGGAUUAAUACCUCGUAACAUUGUGAGAUGGCAUCAUUUUACAAUUAUAGUUCCGACGCUUGAAGACGGGCGUGCGCCUGAUUAGGUAGUUGGCGGGGUAACGGCCCACCAAGCCUUCGAUCAGUAACUGGUGUGAGAGCACGACCAGUCACACGGGCACUGAGACACGGGCCCGACUCCUACGGGAGGCAGCAGUAAGGAAUAUUGGUCAAUGGACGCAAGUCUGAACCAG
This 368-nucleotide ribosomal RNA is filed under the name uncultured bacterium. RNAcentral's name for it is "bacterial SSU rRNA". It matches the Rfam family "Bacterial small subunit ribosomal RNA", at positions 28 to 391 of the family's 1533-position model. The record is from RNAcentral.